UCUAGUGACCAUGGUGGGAGUGACACACUCGAAUCCGUUCCGAACUCGAAAGUGAAACCUCCUUACGCCGAUGGUACUGUUUGUGCGGGAGAGUAGGUAGUUGCUAGGU
Ribosomal RNA from Neorickettsia helminthoeca str. Oregon, 109 nucleotides. NCBI's taxonomy places the organism in Bacteria, Pseudomonadati, Pseudomonadota, Alphaproteobacteria, Rickettsiales, Anaplasmataceae. The record is from Rfam.